This 60-nucleotide non-coding RNA is filed under the name Florenciella parvula. The record is from RNAcentral. Lineage: Eukaryota; Dictyochophyceae; Florenciellales.
UUUUUAAAAAAUUUUUUUUUUUUUUUUUUUUUUUUUUUUUAACGAACGUUUGAAAUAAAU